Molecule: ribosomal RNA, 218 nt
Filed under: uncultured bacterium
Lineage: Bacteria
Description: partial 16S ribosomal RNA
Rfam family: Bacterial small subunit ribosomal RNA
Source: RNAcentral
CCUAGAGGGGGACAACAGUUGGAAACGACUGCUAAUACCGCAUACGAUCUAAUCUCGGCAUCGAGGAUGGAUGAAAGGUGGCCUCUAUUUAUAAGCUAUCACUGAAGGAGGGGAUUGCGUCUGAUUAGCUAGUUGGAGGGGUAACGGCCCACCAAGGCGAUGAUCAGUAGCCGGUCUGAGAGGAUGAACGGCCACAUUGGGACUGAGACACGGCCCAG